RNAcentral lists this ribosomal RNA (266 nucleotides) under uncultured bacterium. RNAcentral describes it as "partial 16S ribosomal RNA". It matches the Rfam family "Bacterial small subunit ribosomal RNA", at positions 524 to 788 of the family's 1533-position model. The record is from RNAcentral.
UACGAGUGCUCCAAGCGUUAUCCGGAAUCACUGGGCGUAAAGGGUCCGUAGGCGGUCUUGAUUAGUCUUUCAUUAAAGCCCGAAGCUUAACUUCGGAUCGGUGAAAGAAACGGCAAGACUAGAGAAUGUGAGAGGUUGUUGGAACUCAUAGUGUAGGGGUGAAAUCCGUUGAUAUUAUGGGGAACACCAAAUGCGAAGGCAAACAACUGGUACAUUUCUGACGCUGAGGGACGAAAGCGUGGGUAGCAAAUGGGAUUAGAUACCCG